AACCCAUGGUGAAGGCACCUUCUCAAUAAAUCCUUGUAUCUCUCCUAUGCAUCAUAAAGUGUUUCUAAAUCCAUCUGCACAAAAGAAGAAAUAUCAUUCUUCAACUU
This 107-nucleotide small nucleolar RNA is filed under the name Gossypium arboreum. RNAcentral's name for it is "Plant small nucleolar RNA R71". It matches the Rfam family "Plant small nucleolar RNA R71". From Rfam's summary of the family: R71 is a member of the C/D box family of snoRNAs containing the C (UGAUGA) and D (CUGA) box motifs. Multiple nearly identical copies of this snoRNA have been identified in Arabidopsis, and it is thought to function as a 2'-O-ribose methylation guide for 18S ribosomal RNA. The record is from Rfam by way of RNAcentral. Lineage: Eukaryota; Viridiplantae; Streptophyta; Magnoliopsida; Malvales; Malvaceae.